CUGUUCGCCAAUUAAAGCGGUACGCGAGCUGGGUUCAGAACGUCGUGAGACAGUUCGGUCCCUAUCUGCCGUGGGCGUUGGAAAUUUGAGAGGAGCUGUCCUUAGUACGAGAGGACCGGGAUGGACGUACCUAUGGUGUAUCGGUUGUCGCGCCAGCGGCAUUGCCGGGUAGCUACGUACGGAAGGGAUAACCGCUGAAAGCAUCUAAGCGGGAAGCCCACCCUAAGAUAAGUUUUCCCAGGAUCCCUUGAGAUCCCUGAAGGGCCAUCGUAGACUACGAUGUUGAUAGGUCGGGUGUGGAAGCUCAGUAAUGAGUGAAGCUAACCGAUACUAAUUACCCGUGAGGCUUGGUCUUAUAACA
This 361-nucleotide ribosomal RNA is filed under the name Gammaproteobacteria bacterium. Its description in RNAcentral is "partial 23S ribosomal RNA". It matches the Rfam family "Bacterial large subunit ribosomal RNA", at positions 2577 to 2925 of the family's 2925-position model. Lineage: Bacteria; Pseudomonadati; Pseudomonadota; Gammaproteobacteria. The record is from RNAcentral.